UGUGUAGGCGGUUGUUUAAGUUUGGUGUGAAAUCUCCCGGCUUAACCGGGAGGGUGCGCCGAAUACUGAAUGACUUGGAGUGCGGGAGAGGAAAGUGGAAUUCCUGGUGUAGCGGUGAAAUGCGUAGAUAUCAGGAGGAACACCGGUGGUGUAGACGGCUUUCUGGACCGUAACUGACGCUGAGACACGAAAGCGUGGGUAGAAAC
Molecule: ribosomal RNA, 206 nt
Filed under: uncultured bacterium
Lineage: Bacteria
Description: partial 16S ribosomal RNA
Rfam family: Bacterial small subunit ribosomal RNA
Source: RNAcentral